UGCGCGCCCACACCGCACGCGCGCUCGCGAUCCUUUGCUACAUAACGCGAUACGACGCGCGCUCCCGCCAAACUUAGUGACCGUUGACGAGUGCCAGUGAUGUGACCCUUUGUGCAUAUUGCAUUAUUAUAAAGUUUUCUAUAACACCAUACGUGCCGUGGAUGUAAGAACAAAAGUGAAAUUCUAGAAUUCCAGAAUUCUUUCCAUGUAUGUCAUAAACAAAUAGUCGAAAAACAAAGGAUACUUGAGACGAGCGUUGCUUGCUUAGGUGCGAGUGACAGGUGGAACUGUGUGCAUUCGCCUGUCCACAUAUCGAGCUCUCUUCAAACAUUGAGAUCUGGAUGCUGUGAAAUUGAAGAUGAUAUAGACCGGUGUAAAACAUGCGAGGCGGCGCGUGCGGCGGGCGGCGCUAGUGUGCGCGGCGGCAGAGAUGCGCUCCAAGCAGCAGCCGCGGCCCUCCUACCGCUGGCUCGGCACCAACGAAAACG
This is a long non-coding RNA of Papilio polytes (common Mormon), 488 nucleotides long. RefSeq lists it as uncharacterized. Lineage: Eukaryota; Metazoa; Arthropoda; Insecta; Lepidoptera; Papilionidae. The record is from RefSeq and is a predicted model, not a curated record. The transcript is spliced from 3 exons.